UGGCGGGACGGGGUGGAGUAAUGUCUGGGAAACUGCCCGAUGGAGGGGGGUAACUACUGGAAACGGUAGCUAAUACCGCAUAACGUCGCAAGACCAAAGAGGGGGACCUUCGGGCCUCUUGCCAUCGGAUGUGCCCAGAUGGGAUUAGCUAGUAGGUGGGGUAACGGCUCACCUAGGCGACGAUCCCUAGCUGGUCUGAGAGGAUGACCAGCCACACUGGAACUGAGACACGGUCCAG
This 238-nucleotide ribosomal RNA is filed under the name uncultured bacterium. RNAcentral's name for it is "partial 16S ribosomal RNA". It matches the Rfam family "Bacterial small subunit ribosomal RNA", at positions 104 to 334 of the family's 1533-position model. The record is from RNAcentral.